GAGAGGAGCUUGCUCUUCUUGGAUGAGUUGCGAACGGGUGAGUAACGCGUAGGUAACCUGCCUUGUAGCGGGGGAUAACUAUUGGAAAUGAUAGCUAAUACCGCAUAACAAUGGGUGACACAUGUCAUUUAUUUGAAAGGGGCAAUUGCUCCACUACAAGAUGGACCUGCGUUGUAUUAGCUAGUAGGUGAGGUAACGGCUCACCUAGGCGACGAUACAUAGCCGACCUGAGAGGGUGAUCGGCCACACUGGGACUGAGACACGGCCCAGACUCCUACGGGAGGCAGCAGUAGGGAAUCUUCGGCAAUGGGGGCAACCCUGACCGAGCAACGCCGCGUGAGUGAAGAAGGUUUUCGGAUCGUAAAGCUCUGUUGUAAGUCAAGAACGAGUGCGAGAGUGGAAAGUUCACACUGUGACGGUAGCUUACCAGAAAGGGACGGCUAACUACGUGCCAGCAGCCGCGGUAAUACGUAGGUCCCGAGCGUUGUCCGGAUUUAUUGGGCGUAAAGCGAGCGCAGGCGGUUUGAUAAGUCUGAAGUUAAAGGCUGUGGCUCAACCAUAGUUCGCUUUGGAAACUGUCAAACUUGAGUGCAGAAGGGGAGAGUGGAAUUCCAUGUGUAGCGGUGAAAUGCGUAGAUAUAUGGAGGAACACCGGUGGCGAAAGCGGCUCUCUGGUCUGUAACUGACGCUGAGGCUCGAAAGCGUGGGGAGCGAACAGGAUUAGAUACCCUGGUAGUCCACGCCGUAAACGAUGAGUGCUAGGUGUUGGAUCCUUUCCGGGAUUCAGUGCCGCAGCUAACGCAUUAAGCACU
This 812-nucleotide ribosomal RNA is filed under the name uncultured Streptococcus sp. Its description in RNAcentral is "bacterial SSU rRNA". It matches the Rfam family "Bacterial small subunit ribosomal RNA", at positions 71 to 868 of the family's 1533-position model. The record is from RNAcentral. Lineage: Bacteria; Bacillati; Bacillota; Bacilli; Lactobacillales; Streptococcaceae.